This is a long non-coding RNA of Sinocyclocheilus rhinocerous, 467 nucleotides long. RefSeq lists it as uncharacterized. The transcript has 3 exons. The record is from RefSeq and is a predicted model, not a curated record. Lineage: Eukaryota; Metazoa; Chordata; Actinopteri; Cypriniformes; Cyprinidae.
CAGUCCCAAACACACUCCACACACAAAAUACAGUGCCGCCCGUUCCGGGUGAUCUGCAGAAACAGUUCAGAAGGAGAACGAAAGUCAUACAGGUCUGGAACAACAUGACCAUUCAGUUUUAAGUCACUGGUCACUACACUUACUUCAACUCAGACCUGUUUGAAUCCUGUGUGUCCAGCCUGUUUCACUGAACAAUGCCGCCUAGUGUGUGUUCAGGGCCACUGGCCCCACGGUUACUGCUCUAGGAUCGGGACAGGAGCUGACACAAAGCAGCUGUCUGAGACCACUAGAGUGGCAGGAAGUCCUGCCAACAUCUGGUCCUUCUAUUGGAGACCCUCGAGAACCAGAGCAGGCGACAGCAGGCAGACUCUAAAGUCAUUAGGAAGGAUUACCACCCCCUCCUGACCGAGACCGGAAAAUUUGAAUUCCCAUCAAACUCUACCUCUGGGAUAACCUCUGUAGGUAUU